This 250-nucleotide ribosomal RNA is filed under the name uncultured Porphyromonas sp. Its description in RNAcentral is "partial 16S ribosomal RNA". It matches the Rfam family "Bacterial small subunit ribosomal RNA", at positions 89 to 339 of the family's 1533-position model. Lineage: Bacteria; Pseudomonadati; Bacteroidota; Bacteroidia; Bacteroidales; Porphyromonadaceae. The record is from RNAcentral.
UGGCGACCGGCGCACGGGUGCGUAACGCGUAUGCAACUUGCCUCACAGAGGGGGAUAACCCGUCGAAAGACGGACUAAUACCGCGUACACUUAUCGGAGGGCAUCCUUUGGUAAGGAAAUGAAAUUCGCUGUGAGAUAGGCAUGCGUCCCAUUAGCUAGUUGGUGAGGUAACGGCUCACCAAGGCGACGAUGGGUAGGGGAACUGAGAGGUUGAACCCCCACACUGGUACUGAGACACGGACCAGACUCC